Molecule: long non-coding RNA, 3413 nt
Filed under: Homo sapiens (human)
Lineage: Eukaryota; Metazoa; Chordata; Mammalia; Primates; Hominidae
Description: HSALNT0110379
Source: RNAcentral
UGGAUGCGAUUAAUACCUUAAAAAAUAGUUUUCCGGAGUGAGCACUCUCUCUUGGCUCUUCUGAUCUUCUGCCAUGUGAGGAACCUUGUUCCUCUUUUCUGGGAAAUACAGCAUUUAAAUGUGCCAUCUUGGGAGUGGAGACUGGGCCUAUGUUAGACACCAAGCCUGCCAGAAAUUUGAUCUGGGACUUCUCAGCCUUCAGAACUUUACAAUUUUGCAAGUAUAAUGAAAUGCUGUACACAUAAUGGACUAGACCCUGCUGUGUCCAAGGCUAUGCUAUGGAUAUGAAGCCCAACUAAAACAAUCUGCCUCAGCUGGGGUGUGUGAGGUAUCAAUAACCCUUGGCAGAGGUGUCAAGAGCCUUGCUGGAACUCAACUACCCUGCUGACCAGAUGCUUAGCAAGUUAACAAGACUCUGAGCAUUCACCACUUUUUCUAACACAACAAUUAACACAACUGGAAAAUCACUGCACUGAUUAUCUGAAGAAAAAAAAUCUCACCAAAGUUGCCUUUUAUGGAACAGAGGCAAAUAAUAAAUACUGGACCACACUGGGAAGAGAAUUUUGAAGUUUUAAGCUGGGCAGGUGCUAUGGCUCAAUAAACAAGAUGAGAGAAACUGAAAAGUAAAAAUCUUAUCAAAAGUAUUUUCUCAGUAUACUCAUAUACAUUUCUGAGUACAUUAAAACUAUUUCAAUCUUACCCUUACAAAUAUGAUGUUUUAUCUUUGGAAAUAACUGAGGCUAACACAUUUUCUCAUAAGAGAUCAAGACUAAAACUUGGUUUAAGAAUAGAAUCUAAAGAGCUAAAGUUUUACUAAAGUGGAUAAUAUUAGUCAGCAUCUAUAUAUAUAAGAGCAUAUUCAGAAGUUACUCAUUGAACAACAUUUAGAUAGCUAUAAAACCUGGAUAAAGCAAUCAAGUUACUUGAUUUUUUAAAACUAAUCUUUAAAAGAGUGUAUACGAAAUUGUUUUUUUUUUAACCUAAAUAUAUAUUUUGUUUUUCAAGUUAUAUCACCUUAAGGUCAUUCCCUUUCCUCUCAUUCAUAAUUCUAUUAGAUUGCAAUUAUAUACUUUUUCUGGAAAAAUAAAUAACUUACAUACUAUUCCUAGAAAAAUAUACGGUAUGCAGGAAAAUGUGAAUAUUAGCAUUAAACAAUUUAAUGUUGUCUUUGCUUUGAAAUUCAAUAAUGCCAUCAGCCUGUAAGACCUCUUAGAGCCUAGCAUUUCACACAGUGAAAGCUGCUUUCUGUUACAAAAGCACAGCAGCUGUGACUCCCGCAGAUACCCUUAAAGACAGAUAUAAUAAAACACUGGGAGGGAGUAGGUCGACACAGGAGCAUGAAAUGGACGAGAUGAAGCCCCUUUGUCACAGCCAAACAGGCUAUAAAGUUACUAUAGUAACAUACAGUAUUAAACUCCAGGUGGAUUGACUUAAUCUUCCUCAAACAAAAAAUAAAGGUUAACAAAAACCAAACCAAUAAUGAUUACAAUCACUCUACCCAAAUAUUUUUCAAGAAGUUCUUAUUUUUUGGUUUACUCUGGAUAGGUGAAGAACAGGGUACACUGGCUCAUGUUCUGAUUUGAAGAAACAACCCCAGAAGUUCAGGGUGUGGCUAAAGAAAUGCCUUUUUAAAAUAUUUGAAUACAUCCAAUGACUUGAGUUGCAAGAAAAUCAAAGUGAUGAGAGAACAAUUAGACUAUAUGGAUUCUCAAACCUAAUAUUUUUUCUAUGUUCAUCACAUUAUUGUCAAGUGGAGACAAUUUAAGUGAUAAUGCCUCUGGAUCCAGUCCUAAAUUCAUGGAAAAUUCAGCAGCCUUUUCUGAACUUUGGUUGAAGAGUUUCAGGCCCCAUCUGUUUUAAUCUACGUUUUCAGGAAGAGAAUAAUGACUUAUGACAUAAGGUAUAAUAAGUAUGAAAUAAGAACCAAGGAACUAGCCUGUGGAACAUAAGACAAAAAGUAGAAAAAACAAGGAAAUGAAAAAUCACAAAUUGAAUUCUAAUUUUUAAAUUUCAUUAAGGAAGUAUACCUAAGAGUUUAGGAGAUACAGUAAACUCUUAGAGUAUAUGUCAAGUCCUGCUUAUUCCUUCUUGUAGGUAUAGGACUUGCUAUUAUUUUGCUGUGAUAAUUGUUUUAUUUAUAAACCACUCUUGUAAGCAUAACUUCUGGAACACUUUAUUCUACCCAAACACUCUCUCUCACACACACACACAUGCACACGUGCACACAUACACAAAAUAUUAUCUGUUUUGCUUUAGUAAAUAUCCAUUUUUAUAGCUCUAUUUUCAAAUGUUGAAUUUUAUGUUUUAAAUGUAGAUGAAGACUUGCAAUGAUAAAUAAAACUUAACAUGUGCAUUUGCAUUUUGGAUUAAUCCAAUGAUCACUUAGAUUGCUCCUUUCAAAUACUGCUCUAAUGAUCUGAAAGAGUUAAGAGACUUGCUCUGAACCUUAAUUUAUGCCAUGGAGUUAGGCACCAGGGCAAGCUGGACUCAAUAAGAAUAUUUUUAGUAGGAUUUAGCUAACAGUGUGAGCCAUACCUUUAAUGGAUUUAGUUUGGGUAAACAACCUUUGUCUAGACAGUCCAAAUGUCACAGGUAUUGGUGCUCAUUUUAAGUGGUAACUUCUAUGCAAAUAAUUGCAAAGUUGCAUUUCGUUCUCUGUACUGAUAUUUUAUGAAUUAAGGUUUUUGACUGUAUCAAUAGCUGAAUGUAUACUCUUAAAUCAUAAUUUUAGUUAAAGUUGUUUUUUUUAACUGGUCACAUACUUGACAACAUGGCAAUAAUUAGGUUUCAGAUUGCACUCUCUGAGUUUUUUGAUGUGAUUGCUGAGGGCUGCUAAAGAUUUUUAGUACUAUUAGCUAUAGAAAAGAUCUGAAAAGGAAGAGUUGAUGGACAGCAGAUUUUUGGGGAAAGUACAGAGCAGAAUUAGUGUUAAAAGAUGAACAAAUACAAUCAUAGUAGGAAAGAGUAAGGAAACUUAUUUAAGUAAAGAUAUUUAUUAAUUAGACUUGUUUGAUAUAUCCAUGAAUAUAAGAAAUAUGAAAUGUUGUGAACUAGAACAGAGCUAUAUUAUUUUUUACAGGUGGAUUAAAUUUAGUCACCUUUCUUGUAUUGAUAAUUGAUAACUAAUGAUAUCUUAUAUUUUUAAUUAAAGAUCAUAUGACCUUUACCUACUUAUGCUUAGAUUCAUCCGUAAAAUAUUUGCUGUUUACCUUAUUACAUUGUUGAAGAAUCUUAAGAAAGGAGAAAGAAAAACCUCAUUCUUGAUUUGUCGAACUAUUCAAACUAAUACGUAGAUUGGGAUGUUAGAACGGCAAAUGUAAUUCGCAUCUAUCCAGAGGCCUAAAAUUUUGAGCAUUGCACAAAACUAUCCAUAGGGAUAGAUUAAUGAACUUUUAAAUUUCACUCAUGUUAUA